Molecule: ribosomal RNA, 443 nt
Filed under: uncultured bacterium
Lineage: Bacteria
Description: partial 16S ribosomal RNA
Rfam family: Bacterial small subunit ribosomal RNA
Source: RNAcentral
CCUACGGGUGGCAGCAGUGGGGAAUAUUGGGCAAUGGGCGCAAGCCUGACCCAGCAACGCCGCGUGAAGGAAGAAGGCUUUCGGGUUGUAAACUUCUUUUCUCAGGGACGAAGCAAGUGACGGUACCUGAGGAAUAAGCCACGGCUAACUACGUGCCAGCAGCCGCGGUAAUACGUAGGUGGCAAGCGUUAUCCGGAUUUACUGGGUGUAAAGGGCGUGUAGGCGGGAAAGCAAGUCAGAUGUGAAAACCAUGGGCUCAACCUGUGGCCUGCCUUUGAGACUGUUUUUCUUGAGUGCAGGUGAGGCAGACGGAAUGCCUGGUGUAGCGGUGAAAUGCGUAGAGAUUAGGAAGAACACCAGUGGCGAAGGCGGUCUGCUAAUCAACAACUGACGCUGAGGCGCGAAAGCGUGGGGAGCAAACAGGAUUAGAUACCCGAGUAGUC